RNAcentral lists this transfer RNA (68 nucleotides) under Doratura stylata. RNAcentral describes it as "tRNA-Asn". Lineage: Eukaryota; Metazoa; Arthropoda; Insecta; Hemiptera; Cicadellidae. The record is from RNAcentral.
UUAAUUGAAGCCAAAGGAAGAGGCACCUUAAUGUUAAUAAGGUUAAUGAAUUAUAUAUUCCAAUUAAA